This 253-nucleotide ribosomal RNA is filed under the name uncultured bacterium. RNAcentral's name for it is "partial 16S ribosomal RNA". It matches the Rfam family "Bacterial small subunit ribosomal RNA", at positions 524 to 776 of the family's 1533-position model. The record is from RNAcentral.
GACGAAGGAUGCAAGCGUUAUCCGGAUUCAUUGGGUUUAAAGGGUGCGUAGGCGGUCUUGUAAGUCAGUGGUGAAAUCUCGCAGCUUAACUGCGAAACUGCCAUUGAUACUGCAGGGCUUGAGUACAGAUGCUGUGGGCGGAAUAUGACAUGUAGUGGUGAAAUACAUAGAGAUGUCAUAGAACACCGAUUGCGAAGGCAGCUCACAAAACUGUAACUGACGCUGAGGCACGAAAGUGCGGGGAUCAAACAGG